CUCGCUGUGAAGAUGCAGUGUACCCGCGGCAAGACGGAAAGACCCCGUGAACCUUUACUAUAGCUUGACACUGAACAUUGAGCCUUGAUGUGUAGGAUAGGUGGGAGGCUUUGAAGUGUGGACGCCAGUCUGCAUGGAGCCGACCUUGAAAUACCACCCUUUAAUGUUUGAUGUUCUAACGUGGGCCCCUUACCGGGGUUGCGGACAGUGUCUGGUGGGUAGUUUGACUGGGGCGGUCUCCUCCUAAAGAGUAACGGAGGAGCACGAAGGUUGGCUAAUCCUGGUCGGACAUCAGGAGGUUAGUGCAAUGGCAUAAGCCAGCUUGACUGCGAGCGUGACGGCGCGAGCAGGUGCGAAAGCAGGUCAUAGUGAUCCGGUGGUUCUGAAUGGAAGGGCCAUCGCUCAACGGAUAAAAGGUACUCCGGGGAUAACAGGCUGAUACCGCCCAAGAGUUCAUAUCGACGGCGGUGUUUGGCACCUCGAUGUCGGCUCAUCACAUCCUGGGGCUGAAGUAGGUCCCAAGGGUAUGGCUGUUCGCCAUUUAAAGUGGUACGCGAGCUGGGUUUAGAACGUCGUGAGACAGUUCGGUCCCUAUCUGCCGUGGGCGCUGGAGAACUGAGGGGGGCUGCUCCUAGUACGAGAGGACCGGAGUGGACGCAUCACUGGUGUUUGGGUUGUCAUGCCAAUGGCACUGCCCGGUAGCUAAAUGCGGAAGAGAUAAGUGCUGAAAGCAUCUAAGCACGAAACUUGCCCCGAGAUGAGUUCUCCCUGAGACUUAGAGUCUCCUGAAGGAACGUUGAAGACGACGACGUUGAUAGGCCGGGUGUGUAAGCGCAGCGAUGCGUUGAGCUAACCGGUACUAAUGAACCGUGAGGCUUAACCUUACAACGCCGAAGAUGUUUUG
Molecule: ribosomal RNA, 904 nt
Filed under: Escherichia coli WV_060327
Lineage: Bacteria; Pseudomonadati; Pseudomonadota; Gammaproteobacteria; Enterobacterales; Enterobacteriaceae
Description: LSU rRNA
Rfam family: Bacterial large subunit ribosomal RNA
Source: RNAcentral